GAUGAACGCUGGCGGCGUGCCUAAUACAUGCAAGUCGAGCGAACGGACGAGAAGCUUGCUUCUCUGAUAUUAGCGGCGGACGGGUGAGUAACACGUGGAUAACCUACCUAUAAGACUGGGAUAACUUCGGGAAACCGGAGCUAAUACCGGAUGAUAUUUUGAACCGCAUGGUUCAAAAGUGAAAGACGGUCUUGCUGUCACUUAUAGAUGGAUCCGCGCUGCAUUAGCUAGUUGGUAAGGUAACGGCUUACCAAGGCAACGAUGCAUAGCCGACCUGAGAGGGUGAUCGGCCACACUGGAACUGAGACACGGUCCAGACUCCUACGGGAGGCAGCAGUAGGGAAUCUUCCGCAAUGGGCGAAAGCCUGACGGAGCAACGCCGCGUGAGUGAUGAAGGUCUUCGGAUCGUAAAACUCUGUUAUUAGGGAAGAACAUAUGUGUAAGUAACUGUGCACAUCUUGACGGUACCUAAUCAGAAAGCCACGGCUAACUACGUG
RNAcentral lists this ribosomal RNA (497 nucleotides) under uncultured bacterium. RNAcentral describes it as "partial 16S ribosomal RNA". It matches the Rfam family "Bacterial small subunit ribosomal RNA", at positions 28 to 507 of the family's 1533-position model. The record is from RNAcentral.